CACUACCUGACAUAUAUACACAAGGAAUUGCUGGUGAUGAGUCUGCGAUAAGUGACCAGAUAAGUGCAAGCUUCAGCAUGGUUACCGACUACGCAUACGACUGGCAUAGUGAUGAAAGUUUGGUCAUGGACCACAGUGACACCCUUACUGCUGGACUUGAUCUGUCGGCAACUGAUAGUGUGACACCACACGACGAUGGUGAUGGUGAUGUUGUGCAGAAAUUAGUAGCUCGUGAGCCGGCAAUUAUUAAAACGAGUUGCAGUCCACUUCCAAACCCUUGUCCUGUCCCAGAAGUGUUCAGUCUAGUAAGAGGGUAAUGCUGGCCCUGAGUAGCAACAAGCUUCAGGGGAAUACGAAACUGUCAUUGAUUCGGGAGGCGAGUCAGUUCUACUACGGUUUAUGCCCCAGACCAACUGCAGCAGAAUAUGACAUCAUGGCCAAGACUCUAAGUGGCAAGUACCCGAAUCUCCGCAGCAAAAUACUCGUAAACGGAUGUGACAAUUACUCUCUUUGACAGCAGUUGAGUAUGGCAUAUCGGAACAAACGAAGGACUUCGACACCAAUUCCGAAGAGUAGCAGGUCAACGUUAGUUGUAUUAUCUGCAGCAAAACUAGCAGCUAAGGUGGUCAACGGUGAUCCUCCAGUUGUUAGAGAUGAAGCUGCCUACGCCAGAUUUUCGAUUCAGUCCUGAGCACCACAAACUAGCAAUGGCUCAAGAAUUUGUUCUGACCAAAGAAUGUGAAUGUUUUAUAAACAGUUCGACAGUAACCAUCGACACAAGCACAAAUUCUGAUAAUACUAUCAUUUCAGACUCAAGUGAUUCAUCCGAGUCAACUAUCUGGAAGAAAAUUGAUCAUUUUCAUCUCU
Halichondria panicea is the source of this 867-nucleotide long non-coding RNA. RefSeq lists it as uncharacterized. The transcript has 3 exons. The record is from RefSeq and is a predicted model, not a curated record. Lineage: Eukaryota; Metazoa; Porifera; Demospongiae; Suberitida; Halichondriidae.